This is a non-coding RNA of Camellia sinensis, 5090 nucleotides long. NCBI's taxonomy places the organism in Eukaryota, Viridiplantae, Streptophyta, Magnoliopsida, Ericales, Theaceae. The record is from RefSeq and is a predicted model, not a curated record.
UAUUGCAUUGGAGAUGCUCUCUCUCAUACCUCUCUGUCUGUCUCUCACUCUGACUCUCUUUCUGUCUCGCGCCUCUGCCCUCCUCUGGCUCUCUCUCUCUCGCUUUUGUAUCCAUCGUCGUCGGGUACAGGAGCAUCACCGCCAUCGCACACGAGCACCACCGUCAAUCAACCAUUGGAGCAUUACCCCAGGUAUGUCCUCUCUAUUUUGCCCUCUCUCUGUCUUUCAGUCUCUCUUCCCCUAAUUUUAGCCUCCAGGGUUUUCUUCUUCCAUUUGCAUACCUUCACACAAACCCAACCCCAAAUCGACCCACCCAUCGCCAUUGACGAAUGACUGUGAUUUUGGUUUUUUGUUUUUUGACGGUUUGAUGACAUUGAUUCAUGAUUUAUGAUUUAUGAUUUAUGAUAUAAAAAAGUUAAGAAGAUAAAGAAAAUAAUUUGUAUGCAUAUGUAUAUAAAAUUUGAAUUUGGGCAUUGAUUUCGACUGGAUAGAAGAGGUUUUCCAUAGGGAAAUUGUUGAGAUAGAGUUGAAUAAUAAAUCAAAGUUUAAGAAGAGCAGUCGGCAAAAAUUUCGACCUUAAAUUUUCAUUUUUAAUUUUCUUGAUUUCAUUUUACAGUUUGAAAGUUUGAGUUGUGUAUUCGUUUUCUGUUUUCAUUAAACACAUAUAUAAAGGACAGAAUCAAAGGAGGGACUGAAACUUGACAUUGCCUGCCCUUUUUUUUUUUCUUUUUCUGCAACAAUAUGUAUGAUUGAUCUGCAACAAUGUGUAUGACUGAAACUUGGUAUUUGUGGUUUUCUUUUAUUCGGAAAUUGGAAAAGAUGGCUUCAUUGGGCAUCCCAUUGCAGACAAAUCUUGUCAUAACAAUGUUCCAAAGAAAUCCAUUAGCAGGUCUGCUAUUGGGUUCAGUUUGAGGCAAAUAGUUUGUCAAAAUCAAGUGUUGUUAGUCAAAGAGUUUUUUUCCACUCCCCCUUGUUUACUUUAGGACUUCGUUUGUGAAAGUUUCUAAUAGAUUAUGAUUAGCUAGACAUGAGAUUAUGAGAUCUGCUGCUGAUAUUUGGGCUGCUGUUGCGCACUCUAGAAUUACCAUCAACUUAAACCACUGUCCAAAGCUCCAUCUGCAGUUGUCUCUGUACAUUUCUUGAUCAGGGACCUCUUAUUAGUGUUGAAUUGUAUUAAUUCUGUUGUUGUUGGGGAAUAUUGAACAUGAAUGAGACUCAACCCACUGACAGCCUGCUUUUACUCUUUAUCUGAUGUAGAGAACUAGUUCUUAUUAUGCUGAUGAAAUUUUGGAUCAUUUUGCAUAUCUCUGUUGCUUGGAACAAGAGUUGUGAUUUGUUGAUAGUGAAGAGAUUUGAGGGUUAUUUCUAGUCUCUACUUUUUGUUAUUUUGUGUAGCACAAAAUUUGCCUCAAUGGACUCUAUGUUGUAGGUAAUGAAUUUGGAGCAAUAUUGUAGAAUUGAGUUCCUCCAACCUCUGUUAUUUUAUGCAUUCAGAAAUAUGUUAUAUGUGACAGCUAAAGAUGAUCUCUUAAGUUUAUGUCCAUAUUUUCACAAUGAUUUGCUGGGGGAUCCUGUUUUUCAUUGUCAUCUGCAUGGACUGGACACAAUUGAGUUGUCAUGGAUUCAUCUUAUCUGAAGGUUUGACAUUUUGGUAAGCAUUGAUAUAAUAAGAUUGCCCAAGUUCUAAGCCUAUGUAGUCAUUAAUUUUUAAUAGCCUGAGAUUCUAUUAACUUGAAUUCUUAGAGUUGAACUCAAACCUACUGCUAUUACCAUUUGCAGGAUGCAUUGAGUGUUUUUAUUUUUUAUUUUUUAGAAAGGAUAAAAUUGCAUUAAUAACCGCAGAAAACAGAGAUGCCUCAGCUGGCACAUGUGAAUAACCUCACUCAACAACGUUACCAUAAACUAGACGUAAUAAAUCUGCUUUAAUUAUGACAAUUCAAACUAUUCUUCUGCAUUAAGGUGAGAUAAUGUGAAAAAUGGUUAAUUUUAGAAACACAUGUAACAUCUUGUCAAUUUUAGAAGGUUGUACGUUUGAAAAACACAUAACAAAAAAUACCUCAAGGUAAAAAACACAUAACAAAAAAUACCUCAAGCUAAGAACGAUGAUGCACAUUCGAUGUUUUUUAGAGUAACUGGCCAAACUUUUACAUUUCGCUAAACUUUCGUAUUACUGGCCAAACUUUUACAUUUCCCCAAUUGGCUUCUACAACAAAAGUUUUAGGAGGAAUUGUCUUCUUAGAGAGGUAUGUUUUAGAAGAGUAUAUAAAAGGCGGCUUGAAAUUUCUAAUUAGGUUGAGAAAGUUUAUCUUUACUCAAAACUAUUUAUGCAAUGAAGAGAGAAGAAGAGCAGUUGGACAAAAAAUUCACAAGUGCUUUUUUUGUUUUUUUGUUUUUCCUUCCAAAAGGCUUGCUAGAUUGUGAAAAGAUUACAGUUUAGUAUUGAAAAUAAACCCAAUGAUCUCUCUCUUUUACUAAUUUUUAGAUUCUGUUAAGAUAUCAUGAAGUUGGGUAAAAAUAAGGAAAUGGAAUGAAAAGCUAAGGGAAAUAGAGUCAAAUUGUAGCUUAUAUUUUCUUCACAUUUUCUUUUCUCUUUUCAAAUUCAUGAUGCAAAACAACAUUAAUUUUUUUUAGUUAUGCUCAUUUUCUGGUUGUUCUUUAACUUUGAUUGCAUUUGUUUGCAUGAACUUUAUAGCUUAGCCAGAGAGUAAUAAGAAUUUUCAAUAUGCACCAUAGAAAUUUAUGAUAACUUCUCUUUAAUUAUUUCAUAUCAACAAAUGUUAGUUUAUUGUUCUUGUUUUGUGAUUCCCUGAAUCUGCCUUAUUUGUUAGUUCUGUCCUAUUUAGCUAUGUAGUGUUAACAAUGCCAUUGUGUUUUUCAUUCUUAUUUAACUUUGAAAACUGUAAUGCUCAAUGAAAUUUAUACAGGGAAUCCUGAAGUCUUUUCAAAGAUUCUUGGAAAGCUCUUUCCAUUAUCACACUGAAGAGGGGUUCUUAGACUUUGCAGGUUAAAGUGAAGGAUUACAAAUUUAGACAUAGUUAGGAAAUGUCUACUUUUGACCAUCAAUUGUCAUGCACUCGUUCUUUUUUUUAAAAAAAAAAAAAAUUUAUUUAUUAUUAUGAAUACCAACGUGAUAUGUUGUUUCAUGUUUAUCUGUUUGAUUGUUGUAGUUGCUGUGUUGUUUAAUUGUGUCCUUCUAACAACCACUGCUGCAAGCUUAUAAAUUACUCUUAUGUAAUUAUGUGUUCAUUAUAUCAACACACUGUAUGUAAUUGUCUUUUAGAAUUAAGCAUGCUCUGUUUAUUGAUCCAUCUUGUUUUAAAUGAUUUGUUUGAUAUGAUUUCUUAAGUUUCUUUGUUGUUUUCCUUCUUUGGCAAUGGCUCCAUUUCAAUUCAGUUAAGUUCUAUAUCUCCGAUUAGUUCUAUAUCUGCCGCUGUCAUGUCUUUGAGGUAACCUCUCACUAACCUCUCAUAUCAGAGACGGAAAAAAGUGAAAACAUAGAAAACAGAAACACAAUCAAACAGCUUUCAAUAAACAGAAAACCGCGUAGUUUUACAUUACCUAGUUUGAAAUUGAAUGGGAAAAAAUAAUAAAAAUGUUGAAUAUGUGGUGGUGGUGGUGGUGGUUAUACAGUUACUCUACAAUAGCUUGGACAGCUUCACGCCACAAGGGAGUGAAAAAGGAUGUACAAUAUGGUUACAAAGCCACAACCCCAGCAGGAACAGUGUUCAACUUCUUCACAGCCUUAGGUGAUGUAGAUUUUGCCUAUGCUGGCCACAAUGUGGUGUUGGAGAUCCAAGCAACCAUCCCUUCCACCCCUGAAAAGCCCUCCAAGGGACCCGUGUGGAAAGGAGUGCUCUUAGCCUAUUUCGUUGUUGUUUUGUGCUAUUUCCUAGUUGCUCUCAUUGGGUAUCGGAUGUUUGAAAACCAAGUCAAAGACAACAUCCUCAUCUCACUUGAGAAACCGGCACGGCUCAUUGCUAUGGCUAACAUGUUUGUUGUUGUCCAUGUCAUCGGAAGCUAUCAGGUUCAAACAUUGGCCUAUGUGUUAAGAGAUCAAUAAGCUUAUUGAGUUUAGUAAUUAGUUCGUUAUAUAUACAAUGUGUUUUGCAUUUUUGUGUUUGUAGCUAUAUGCAAUGCUAGUAGGGGUGUAAUUUUGGCCCAGCUCAUGUCGGGCCUUGCAGGUUUCUGUCAAAAAUCGGGCCAGGCUGCGGGCUAGAAAAUUAGGCCCAAGCCCAAGGGUAUUCGGGUUUUGGUCGAGCUGAUGGGCCUGGGCUCGGACUUGGACCGGCCUAAACAAAUUUUUUUAUUUUUUUAUUUUUUCUACCAAAAUUUUAUUAUUUUUCACUAAAAAUAACACCGGGCCUCGGGCCGGGCCCACCCCGGGCCACGGGAAGGCUUCGGGCCCGCCUACGGACUACGGGCCAUUUUUACACUUCUAAAUGCCAGUGUUCGACAUGAUAGAAACAGUGUUGGUCAAGAAGCUAAAAUUCAAGCCCAGCACAAUGCUUCGCUUUAUUUCACACAAUAUAUACGUGGGUUAGUAAAUUAUCAAUGGCUUUCAAUACAAUGAGGUUCUGGAUUUUGAUGGUGGUAGAGAAUUGUUUUGAUAUUGUAUAUAUUUGAUACAUCAUAUUUCUUCUUCUGUCGAUUAGAUCUGUCAAAGAAGUUGAUCUCUGAGAUUGGAUCAAUUCAAUGAACUUCCAGGUUUGAAUUACACUUGGAAUUCUGUUGAUGAUUGUAUCACCUAUUGGAGGGCUAAGGAAUAUCAUACUCCAAGCCAGAGACUAUGAUUUCUUCUCUUGAUAGCCCAAGAACUAAUCAGAGAUAUGGAACUCAUUAUGUUAUCUCCUCUUUCAGUGCACCAUGUUAACCCAUUAAAGAUUGCUUUUGUGUGGGCUAUUGUGGAUAUUUAUUUUUGUGUAACGGAGAGCAUUUGUUAUGUAUAUGGAAGACAUUUAUUUUUCUACAACUCUCUGUUUUGGAAAUCCAGUGUUUUUAUAUGUAAUAUUUAAUUUAGAUGGAUUAUACUUGGUUGGUGUGGAUUUAUAUGAUAUUUGGAAUAUGAUGUUACAAGUUAAAGUUUUUGGAUA